CUGGAUUUAAGAUUCAUUUUUCCAUUCUAACCAUUCUGUUUCAUAACAGUAGAACUUAGGAGUGUUAAUGAUCUGAGUGGUAAGAGAGAAAAGGAAUGACCAGCGAGACCUUACUAUUCAAAGAGCUCGUUCCCUCUUUGUGGCCAAGUUUAUGCUGAAGAAGUUCUAGUAGUUCAGGAGGAUUUUUUAGGAAGCUGUUUUCAGAUAACAUAUUUACUGAGAAAUCACAGGAUGCUGCAAUUAGAAGCAGUACGUGCUGCUAGAAUUAUCUAGUUCUGCUCCUUGUCCCUCACCUCCACGUGCAUACCCAGUAUAGUUAGAAGUGCUCUGGAAUUUCAUGUAAGCAUCCUGCUAGCACUGCUUUUUUUUUUUUUUUUUUUUUUUUUUUUUUUUUUUUCCCCUCCAUCAGGAUUGUCUUGAUUGUACCAGCCUUAUGGCAUUACUCUGUCUUUCUGUUCCUCAGAUGAGCUCUGCAACAACUGCUGACUUUGAAGAGAGCUCUGCACGGUGUGGAUGUGAGACGACACCUUUCUCAAAGCAAAGAACUGCCCCUGUGAACUGCCCGAGGACCUGUGUGCUGUGUAAAAGCAUCAUAAACUGCCUAUGACCAAGUUCGGCCUUAGUGAUGACGUCGAGCUGCUUUUCCUUACCUGUUUCUCAGCUCAGAAGUGGAUGUCAUCUGUGGUGCCAGGAGCCUGUCUGAUGGGGACUUCAUUGGCAGUAAGCCUCCUCUCCUUGCAAUGGGCUGACAGGUUACUGCUUGCAUAUGUGGAUGUCCAGAGCUCCAGCACACACGGAUACUCAAAGGCAGAAAAUUGGCAGCUGACAAAUGAAUCCGUCAGAAUUCUGCGGAAAGAACACACAAUUUCUGGAUGUUUACAACUUCCAAGAGCAUCACUGCAAGCAUUUUAUCACUUCAAGAUUUCUCGGCUUGUGUAGUUAGCAGAUCUUCAUAAGGCUUGUCUGGAAUUCUAUUUCUUAAUAACUCUAAAUAAUGUUACUCUUUGAAAUCAUGUUAUCCAUGUACCAUGAGAUCCAAAUUUCUUCUAUGCAUAUGGAAUUCCAGGCAUAUAUGCAGUCUAGAAAACUGUUUUUUACCUCUAACUUUGAACAUUACUAUUGUUCUUAGAAUCUGGAAAAGCAGGACAAAUAAUUUUGCAUUCUGCUUUUUGGUGGGUUGAUGUGUUCUUCUUUAUUCAAAAUUAGUUUAUUUUCACAAGUUUUGGCUCCGUUGCAUUGGUUAUGCUUAAGUAUGGUGUGAGACCCUUGGAGGUAGUCACUAACCUCCAGGCAUUCGUGUAACAGAGUUGUUAUAACACAGUGCACAGGGUACGUGCAUAGGUACCCUCAGUCACUAAGGGGAGCUAUUUUCUAACAGAAGUGAGUUAUAAGAAGGGAAAAAUGGGGCCCCUGUUGAUGCCAAGAGAAAAACUGACUGAUGGAGCACUUUUUUUUCCUGAAAAUUUAUGUUACAUUGAGGUCCCAUUGGUAUUUAGAAGCCAGUGGUCCCUUUACCUUGGAGCAAGGCAGCAUAGCGGGCAGAGCUCACAGGGGGUGCACCUAACUUGCGGAAGGCCAGAUCCUCCACUGUUAACUUCACAUGACUUUGGAAAAGGCUUCUGACCUGCUUCCCUGAUGAACAGCAACAUAAGUUCAUGCCUGAAUUUUUUCUUUGCACCUUGUCUAGAUAUUUAUACCUGUGAACAGGGAGUGCUGAGCUGCCACCAAGAAAAAAGCAGAACUCUUAUUUGGAAGAAUUUCAUAGUCACUUUGUGCACACAGAAAUGAAGACUUAAAAGCUGUGGCAAAGGAGAGUAAGACCUGGAGACUGUCCUGAGCUCCAUGGAGAUGAUCAGACAGAAUCUUUCCCCAUCUCAGAGCACUUCUGGCUUGUCAUUGGUACGUUGUCUGUAUUCAUCAACUGCAGGGUUUGCCCUAGGCAGCCAAAAAGUACUGAAGGGAUAUAUAGGCCCCAACCCUUGCAUCUCUGCUAGUUCCCCUUCUUGUCACUCUGAGAAUUAUAUGACAUGUCAUUUUCUGUCAGCUUCUUUUCUCCUUCAGGAGUGCUGAGGCAAAUAAUUUAGCUUGUUCCAGAAAAUGUCAUUUUUCUAUCUCAAUAAAUUAGCCUGGCUGCUGUAUCUCUCCA
Molecule: long non-coding RNA, 2146 nt
Filed under: Anas platyrhynchos platyrhynchos (common mallard)
Lineage: Eukaryota; Metazoa; Chordata; Aves; Anseriformes; Anatidae
Description: lncRNA (ENSAPLG00000023040.1)
Source: RNAcentral